CUGCAAGAGACUUAGAAAAAAAAAGAAUCUAAAAAUGUACAGCGGCUGCCAACAGCAGCCUCCUUGGUAGUGUAUGCAACCUGUUGUCUGUAUGGAUUGCCCUAUGGGACCUUGAAGGUAGUA
Molecule: small nucleolar RNA, 123 nt
Filed under: Neotoma lepida (desert woodrat)
Lineage: Eukaryota; Metazoa; Chordata; Mammalia; Rodentia; Cricetidae
Description: Small nucleolar RNA SNORA70
Rfam family: Small nucleolar RNA SNORA70
About the family: snoRNA U70 seems to be exclusive to mammals and is a member of the H/ACA class of snoRNA which contain H (ANANNA) and ACA box motifs.
Source: Rfam by way of RNAcentral